AUCUAUCAAGCUAGGAUGCUUUUUUGUGCCUCCUGGUUUGGUUUAUUGGGCUUUGCCGUGUCCCUUCAUUGGGGAAUGGCUGGUCUUAAAAGUAUUAGCUGACUCACAUGGGGUUGGGUUUUCUACUUGGCGUGAUAAUAAUCUGACCGCUGAGGAAGCAUCCCUCUGGGAUGCCCAAUUUUCAUGUGGGUCGCUCCUAAUCUGGAGCUUGUAGUAAAGUUCCGUGUUCAA
RNAcentral lists this unclassified non-coding RNA (231 nucleotides) under uncultured Clavulina. Its description in RNAcentral is "sequence contains ITS2". The record is from RNAcentral. Lineage: Eukaryota; Fungi; Basidiomycota; Agaricomycetes; Cantharellales; Hydnaceae.